Long non-coding RNA from Hemiscyllium ocellatum (epaulette shark), 2687 nucleotides. RefSeq lists it as uncharacterized. The record is from RefSeq and is a predicted model, not a curated record. The transcript has 2 exons. Lineage: Eukaryota; Metazoa; Chordata; Chondrichthyes; Orectolobiformes; Hemiscylliidae.
CUGCCGUGGUUGCCACCCACGGGCAGGUGCCCGCACGAACACUCCCGGGGAGAGGUGGUGCGCCUGUGGGCAUGAAAUGGUCGGCAGGGCGUCGGGUUCGAUGCGGGACCCAAGCAAAAGCUGAGGAAACAGGGUUUAUUGGCACAGACUCCGCCCCUUGAAUUCACCGUUCAUUCCAUCCGGCCGGGAGAUUGGGUCUUAGUAAAAUCAUGUACAGAGACUAAACUGCAGCCGGACUGGGAAGGGCCGUACCAGGCUCUUUUGACUCCCGAAACGGCAAUAAGGACGGAGGAGAAAGGCUGGACUCACUACACUCGGAUCAAAGGGUCAGUGGAAUCUCCAGUUGAGGAAGAAGUCUGGACAGCCGAAUCAACACAAGACCCGCUGAAACUCAGGCUAAAGAGACUUUGAGUAACUGAUUAUACAGUGGCGAAGCGAGCGCGGGAUUAUUUCUGUAGGAUUGUAUAUUAAGUCUUUUUGUGCUUCAGCAUGUUUUUUUUAGAAUGCUGGGAAUGUUUAGAGUUAUGUUGCUAGCCCCCUUAGUAUCGGGAUUUUGUCAAAUAUCAUUUUCAUGCGUGUUAUUAACGGUCCCUGAGUCUGAUAAUCCACAGGUAAAGGACUUAAAACAGACCAUUGAAAUAGAAACUGGAUACGGGGAUGCAAAUGCCUGGGUUGAAUGGGUAAAGUAUACUGUAAAAAGUCUGAACAAAAGCAUUUGCUAUGCAUGUGCCUCCAGUAGGCCAGUGGCCCAGGUGCUUCCCUUUCCGCUCGGGUGGAAGCGAGACAGGCAGGGCAUGAAAUGUAUGAUAGCCCUGUAUCAGGUUGAGACUACAUGGAAUGAUAGGCACUGUAACUCCCUAUCUCUGAUGUUCCCUCCCUUGGAGAAGAAAGAUGCAAAAGAUCCCCCCUACAUUUCAUCCACAGUCGGAAAUCACACGUCGUGUGUGCGUAGAUGAGGUACUAAUCGGUCUAGAGCUGAAAUUAUGUACAGAGAUUAAGAAUGUCAUCAAAACGGACAAGGGAGAGAACUACUCAGCACUGAAGGUUCCCCAAGAGGAUCUGUGGUGGGACUGUGGAGGCAAAAUACUGAGACCCAUCCUCCCUCCGGAUUGGUAAGGGAUAUGUGCAAUUGUACAAUUGGCAAUUCCAUUUACCCUGGCAUUUGAGAAGGAAAAGAUAGUGGGGAAAAAGGGAAGGAGUAAGAGACCACUGUUAGACACUUCUUUCGAUGACAGGAUUUAUCUCGAUUCGGUAGGAGUCCCUAGGGGGGUACCUGAUGAGUUCAAGGCUCGUAACCAGAUUGCAGCAGGCUUUGAGUCAGCUCUCUUUUGGUGGGUAACAAAAAAUAAAAAUGUAGAUUGGAUAAAUUACAUUUUCUAUAAUCAACAGCGAUUUAUAAAUUAUACAAGGGAUGCGGUUAAAGGAAUAUCAGAACAGCUUGAUGCGACAAGUAGGAUGGCAGGGGAAAACAGAAUGGCCCUUGAUAUGAUUUUAGCAGAAAAAGGGUGUGUGUGUGUGUGUGUGUGUGUGUGUGUGUGUGUGUGUGUGUGUGUGUGUGUGUGUGUGUGUGUGUGUGUGUGUGUGUGUGUGUGAGAGAGAGAUGUUAGGAGGAAGCUGUUGUACCUUUAUUCCUAAUAACACUGUGCCUGAUGGUUCAAUUACUCGGGCCUUAAGGGGAUUGACUACCUUAGCAGAGGAACUGGCUGAGAAUUCAGGAGUAGACACAUCUCUCACGGGAUGGCUUGAAUCCUUGUUUGGAAGGUGGAAGGGGGUGGUAGUUUCCAUCCUUACUUCCCUGAUAGUAGUAGUCAGGGUAUUGGUGGCCAUUGGCUGUUGUAUCAUACCCUGUAUACGUGGGUUCACCCAAAGACUGAUUGAGACAGCCUUAAUGAAACAGAUGCCCUUAAAAGGAAAUCAGACAGAGGAACUUUAUCAACUAAAUAUUGAGGAGAUGAGUGAGACCAAGAUGGAUGAAAUCUCCGGAAUGAUACAUGCGAAUUUUGGGAGCGAUGCUAAAAAGAAAAAUGCAGAAAAUAACAAAUGGUAAUUAAAGAAAAAGGGGGAAAUUGUGUGAUAUAGGUAAAGCAGUAUUACUUCUGCAAUUAUAAUUACUUAUGCAAGGUAAAUGAACUCACACCAGUGUGUAAUGGUUUCAACCAAGAGCUGAGUCAACAAGAAUGAAAACUCUGUGGAGGAAAUAUAUAAUAGUUUUUGUAUGAGCUAAAAUGUGCAUACAAGAAUGAAACAUGCCUGCAAACAAAGGUAGAUGUUACAGACAAAUGGAUAAGGUGCUGUGAGGGUGUAAAUUAAGCCAGAUAUGCCUGUACAAACAAUAGGUAUAAGCAUCUGUUUCCCACUUCUGCAAAAACACAAAAAACAAACCCCAAUUAAAAGGUCAUAAGGAUCAAUAUGGAUGGGGAAAGGGAGGAAAUGGCACAGGUGGAGGAAGUGGAUAAGAGUGAAGGAGGAUAUACCUAACAAUGGGCCACAGCAGGAUGUGGUGAAAUGGCCGAGUAAAACUUGUACUUUGUUAUGCACAAGGCCGGAUAAGGCAAGAGAUAAACAACAGUAAUGGGCACCGGGUUGGGAGGAAUAAAUCCUAUAUAAGGUAUGUACUUGCUAAACUCUGGGUGCCUUACUUCAGGCACCAUGCUUACAAGCGUAUAAUAAACAUACCGAUUGCUUCA